Molecule: ribosomal RNA, 497 nt
Filed under: uncultured bacterium
Lineage: Bacteria
Description: partial 16S ribosomal RNA
Rfam family: Bacterial small subunit ribosomal RNA
Source: RNAcentral
GAUGAACGCUGGCGGCGUGCCUAAUACAUGCAAGUCGAGCGGAAAGACGAGGAGCUUGCUCCUCUGACGUUAGCGGCGGACGGGUGAGUAACACGUGGAUAACCUACCUGUCAGACUGGGAUAACUUCGGGAAACGGGCGAUAAUCCCGGAUAAUAUCUUGAAGCACAGUGUUCGUUGGAGAAAGACGGUGUUGCUGUCUGUUCUCGAUGGAUCCGCGCCGCAUUGGCGAGUUGGUAAGGUAACGGCUUACCAAGGCAAGGAUGCGUAGCCGGCGUGAGAGGGGGGUCGGCCACAUGGGAACGGAGCCGGGGUCAAGGCUCCUACGGUAGGCAGCAGUAUGCAACCUGCCGCAAUGGGCGAAAGCCUGACGGAGCGACCCGGCGCGAGUGAUGACGGCCUUCGGAUCGUAAAGCCCUCCUAUUAGUUGAGAACAAAUGUGUAAUUAACCAUGCACGUCUUGACGGUACCGAAUCAAAAAGCAACGGCUAACUACGUG